GAGGGUAUAGCUCAAUGGUAGAGUGAGUGCUUAGCAUGCACAGGGUCCUGGGUUCAAGCCCCAGUACCUUCA
This 72-nucleotide transfer RNA is filed under the name Camelus bactrianus (Bactrian camel). It matches the Rfam family "tRNA". From Rfam's summary of the family: Transfer RNA (tRNA) molecules are approximately 80 nucleotides in length. Their secondary structure includes four short double-helical elements and three loops (D, anti-codon, and T loops). Further hydrogen bonds mediate the characteristic L-shaped molecular structure. tRNAs have two regions of fundamental functional importance: the anti-codon, which is responsible for specific mRNA codon recognition, and the 3' end, to which the tRNAs corresponding amino acid is attached (by aminoacyl-tRNA synthetases). tRNAs cope with the degeneracy of the genetic code in two manners: having more than one tRNA (with a specific anti-codon) for a particular amino acid; and 'wobble' base-pairing, i.e. permitting non-standard base-pairing at the 3rd anti-codon position. The record is from Rfam by way of RNAcentral. Lineage: Eukaryota; Metazoa; Chordata; Mammalia; Artiodactyla; Camelidae. RNAcentral also lists the same sequence under 1 other name.